CAGCAGCCGCGGUAAUACGUAGGUGGCAAGCGUUAUCCGGAUUUAUUGGGCGUAAAGCGAGCGCAGGCGGUCUUUUAAGUCUAAUGUGAAAGCCUUCGGCUCAACCGAAGAAGUGCAUUGGAAACUGGGAGACUUGAGUGCAGAAGAGGACAGUGGAACUCCAUGUGUAGCGGUGAAAUGCGUAGAUAUAUGGAAGAACACCAGUGGCGAAGGCGGCUGUCUGGUCUGCAACUGACGCUGAGGCUCGAAAGCAUGGGUAGCGAACAGGAUUAGAUACCCUGGUAGUCCAUGCCGUAAACGAUGAUUACUAAGUGUUGGAGGGUUUCCGCCCUUCAGUGCUGCAGCUAACGCAUUAAGUAAUCCGCCUGGGGAGUACGACCGCAAGGUUGAAACUCAAAAGAAUUGACGGGGGCCCGCACAAGCGGUGGAGCAUGUGGUUUAAUUCGAAGCUACGCGAAGAACCUUACCAGGUCUUGACAUCUUCUGACAGUCUAAGAGAUUAGAGGUUCCCUUCGGGGACAGAAUGACAGGUGGUGCAUGGUUGUCGUCAGCUCGUGUCGUGAGAUGUUGGGUUAAGUCCCGCAACGAGCGCCACCCUUAUUACUAGUUGCCAGCAUUAAGUUGGGCACUCUAGUGAGACUGCCGGUGACAAACCGGAGGAAGGUGGGGACGACGUCAAAUCAUCAUGCCCCUUAUGACCUGGGCUACACACGUGCUACAAUGGAUGGUACAACGAGUCGCGAGACCGCGAGGUUAAGCUAAUCUCUUAAAACCAUUCUCAGUUCGGACUGUAGGCUGCAACUCGCCUACACGAAGUCGGAAUCGCUAGUAAUCGCGGAUCAGCAUGCCGCGGUGAAUACGUUCCCGGGCCUUGUACACACCGCCCGUCACACCAUGAGAGUUUGUAACACCCAAAGCCGGUGGGGUAACCUUUUAGGAGCUAGCCGUCUAAGGUGGGACAGAUGAUUAGGGUGAAGUCGUAACAAGGUAACA
RNAcentral lists this ribosomal RNA (993 nucleotides) under Pediococcus pentosaceus. RNAcentral's name for it is "bacterial SSU rRNA". It matches the Rfam family "Bacterial small subunit ribosomal RNA", at positions 509 to 1501 of the family's 1533-position model. Lineage: Bacteria; Bacillati; Bacillota; Bacilli; Lactobacillales; Lactobacillaceae. The record is from RNAcentral.